RNAcentral lists this ribosomal RNA (492 nucleotides) under uncultured bacterium. RNAcentral's name for it is "partial 16S ribosomal RNA". It matches the Rfam family "Bacterial small subunit ribosomal RNA", at positions 29 to 507 of the family's 1533-position model. The record is from RNAcentral.
AGUGAACGCUGGCGGUAGGCCUAACACAUGCGAGUCGAACGGCAGCACAGUAAGAGCUUGCUCUUACGGGUGGCGAGUGGCGGACGGGUGAGGAAUACAUCGGAAUCUACUUUUUCGUGGGGGAUAACGUAGGGAAACUUACGCUAAUACCGCAUACGACCUACGGGUGAAAGCAGGGGAUCUUCGGACCUUGCGCGAUUGAAUGAGCCGAUGUCGGAUUAGCUAGUUGGCGGGGUAAAGGCCCACCAAGGCGACGAUCCGUAGCUGGUCUGAGAGGAUGAUCAGCCACACUGGAACUGAGACACGGUCCAGACUCCUACGGGAGGCAGCAGUGGGGAAUAUUGGACAAUGGGCGCAAGCCUGAUCCAGCCAUACCGCGUGGGUGAAGAAGGCCUUCGGGGUGUAAAGCCCUUUUGUUGGGAAAGAAAAGCAGCAGGUUAAUACCCCGCUGUUCUGACGGUACCCAAAGAAUAAGCACCGGCUAACUUCGUG